Molecule: transfer RNA, 84 nt
Filed under: Desulfovibrio sp.
Lineage: Bacteria; Pseudomonadati; Thermodesulfobacteriota; Desulfovibrionia; Desulfovibrionales; Desulfovibrionaceae
Description: tRNA-Leu
Rfam family: tRNA
About the family: Transfer RNA (tRNA) molecules are approximately 80 nucleotides in length. Their secondary structure includes four short double-helical elements and three loops (D, anti-codon, and T loops).
Source: RNAcentral
GCGAGGAUGGCGGAACUGGUAGACGCACUGGAUUUAGGAUCCAGCGGUUCAUCCGUGGGGGUUCAACUCCCCCUCCUCGUACCA